AUUGAACGCCGGCGGCAGGCCUAACACAUGCAAGUCGAGCGGAUGAAGGGAGCUUGCUCCUGGAUUCAGCGGCGGACGGGUGAGUAAUGCCUAGGAAUCUGCCUGGUAGUGGGGGAUAACGUCCGGAAACGGGCGCUAAUACCGCAUACGUCCUGAGGGAGAAAGUGGGGGAUCUUCGGACCUCACGCUAUCAGAUGAGCCUAGGUCGGAUUAGCUAGUUGGUGGGGUAAGGGCCUACCAAGGCGACGAUCCGUAACUGGUCUGAGAGGAUGAUCAGUCACACUGGAACUGAGACACGGUCCAGACUCCUACGGGAGGCAGCAGUGGGGAAUAUUGGACAAUGGGCGAAAGCCUGAUCCAGCCAUGCCGCGUGUGUGAAGAAGGUCUUCGGAUUGUAAAGCACUUUAAGUUGGGAGGAAGGGCAGUAAGUUAAUACCUUGCUGUUUUGACGUUACCAACAGAAUAAGCACCGGCUAACUUCGUG
RNAcentral lists this ribosomal RNA (484 nucleotides) under uncultured bacterium. Its description in RNAcentral is "partial 16S ribosomal RNA". It matches the Rfam family "Bacterial small subunit ribosomal RNA", at positions 30 to 507 of the family's 1533-position model. The record is from RNAcentral.